GAAAGACUUGAAAGGAAGGAUUUAAUAUUGAAUGGAGGUAAAAAUAAGCGCACGAGAGGUGUUAACAAGAAUGGGUUCGACUUGCUUUUCUUACAUAUAAUGGCAAGACAAACCUGAUUGACAAAUCUAUCCAGAAAAACUGGCCAAUUUUAUUACAAGAUCAAUACUUAAAGAAAAUUUUACCUACAAAUCCAAAAGUGAUAUACAAGAAAACAAAUAAUUUGAAAAGUAUUUUAGCCCCCAGUAUACUCCCUAAAAAAGAGGUUAAGAAGGAUCAGUCAAAUUUUUUAUCUGAGAAACCUAAAGGUUUUUUUAAAUGCGGUAGAUGCAGCACAUGUAAGUUUCAAGUGAAUAAGACUACAGAAUUCAAAAGCUCAGUUAUGAAUGAAACUUUUAAAAUCAAGCAUUUUAUAAACUGUCAGAGCCGAUUUGUAGUGUAUUUGAUACAAUGUAAAUGUGGCGUCAUAGGACGCACCAUUAGGAAAUUACAUGUGAGAUUUUUAGAACACUUUAAUGGAAUUAAUAAUAAAAACAUGAAACAUAGUGUGAAACAUAGCAUUAUUUUUCUCUACAUUAUUCUUUUUGCUACAUUUAUUAUUUUUUUCUUUACAUUAAUUUUUAUCUCCAUUCAUCUUUUAAUACCAUUUGGUCCAAUUUGUAUUUUUAAUAUUGUUUGCUAGUUUUCUAUGUUAAUAUAGUUUCCCUCUAUAGCCAGGGCUGUUAACCCGGACCAUGAGAACAUAGAACGCUCCUGGAUAUGGUUACCCUCGUUUGUAUGGCCGGGUACAGUAUUAUUCAUAAAGUUAUUUGCGUUCCAGCUUGGUUGCGCAUGCGCACAUCGGUCGACUGCACGUCAUCACGUAUGGCAGUGCUCUCGCCAGAUCUGCGCAUGCACGGGGUAUGAACGGCACCUAGAUCAGCGGAUUUAAAAGGAGAAGACGCCAGGAGAAGCUCCUGAAGAAGUCUAACCGACGAAACGCGUUGAGCAGCUACGAGAGCCCUGUAUUGGUAGUACAACAGUCUUUUAUCUUGUCAGUACACUGUUGGUUUUUGUGUUGUGCAUUUUUUGCACUUUGGCACUUUUUGCACUGGCACUUUGCUACAUCUGCACAGUCAUCUGUAUAGCUGAAGCUGUUGUCCAUAGGGGCCAUCAUGCCUUAUUUGGCUUUUUAACAUUGUAUUACGAUUUUGCACAAUUUUGUGUGUGCUAUUGCUUAUUUUAUUUUACUUGGAUUUAUUACUAAUAAAGUGGAUUUUUUUCUUACAUCUAUUUGUCCCUCCUAUCCAUGGGAAUCUCCAGAUAGAAUUUAUCUUUGUGAUUGUGGCGCCCUGUUUUUCUCUGAUUUAUUAAUCAGGAUUCUAUGGUUGCUUGGUCGUCGAGUGGAACUGUUUUGGGCAUGGCACUCGCACGAACACACGGUCUCUAUGGAAGUCCCAUACAAACUAUUUCCACAUAUGGUAGAAGAACGGCGUUCAGGAGUUUCAAACAGACGAACGAGAGGAGCAUUCUCCACGAAUCAUCUAUCAAUGGCGGUGUUCAUGAAAAUCCAUCCAAACGGAGAACGGCUCUUGCUGCCAAUUCUGUGGAACUCUUGGUCGGAUACAACCUCGUGGCGAGCCGGUCAAACUUCCACACGGUGCCGUUCGUAAAGUACCGAUCGGAUUUUCGUGAAUUUUGAAUAUGUUACUCACAUCAAUUUAUUUGAAAGAAUGAAAAAAGAAGAAAGAAAGGAGCCUAAACAACUGGAACCUCCAUGGGGGUUAACCCCUAGUUAAUUGGCAAAAGGAAAAAAGAGAAAAGUUGGAGAUUCCAGUUCUAUAUAUAUUGACACCAGUGAAAUACACAUAAAUUAAAACGUCACUUUUAAUAAAUUAAAAUUAAAAAGUCCCUUAAUAAUAAUAAGGGCACUACACACACUCUUAUUAUAAACACGUGUAAAAUCACCACACCUAAAUAUAAAUGGCUGAGUUAACCAAAAAGUGAAUAAAAUGAUGAUUUCUCUAGAGGGAAGAUUUUCCACUUAUGUCUAUAAGAUCUAGUGUGUGAAAUCCUACAAAGUCAUUGUCUACAGAAAUCUAAAUUGUUGUAGGGUGUACCCAGAUAAUACUCUUAUUAAAUCUGAGUUGUUAGUACUUCAAUUUGGAUGAAUUAAACCCCAAUUCCUGAUACAAUGGAUUACUAGAUACUUGUAUGCCUAUGUAUAAACAAUGUAGCUGCUCAAACUACUUGAGCUAAUCUUCCUCGAUACUUCAUAUAACAAUGUUGCUAAUUCCUGUUUACAAAGUUGUCCUUAUAGUAACAGUAUAUCAAGAUCGUGGAUACAGUUUUGAUAGCAUAGCUGUUUAUGUAGUAAAGAAUACUGUAGAACGUGGGAAAAGAGAGGAGGGCACCGUGAUGGACCUUACACCCCUAGUACAGCCUAUAGGGCGAUGUUUUCAAUCAUACGGCUGUCUAACCAGUCCCAUCACAUCCCACGACCAAAAACUAGUGCAACAAGGCUAUAGCAGAACGAUAGAUUGUCUCCCUCAUGUCACUUCCAAAUCUGGACCUAUUCGGCAUCGAGGUUCUAUCUUAAAAUAAUUGCGUCUGAAUAAACGUCCCCCUGCACUUCUAAC
Molecule: non-coding RNA, 2616 nt
Organism: Pelobates cultripes (western spadefoot toad)
Lineage: Eukaryota; Metazoa; Chordata; Amphibia; Anura; Pelobatidae
Source: the annotation of a GenBank genome assembly